UAUCAAUUUCUCUUCAGAUCGAAUAAAUCUUUCGCCUUUUACUAAAGACUUCCAUGGAGAGGAACAAGUGAGGCUCACAGCAACUUUUUGAGGCCUUGCCCUGGCAAGGCU
This is a small nuclear RNA of Balaenoptera musculus (blue whale), 111 nucleotides long. Its record names the gene U5. It matches the Rfam family "U5 spliceosomal RNA". From Rfam's summary of the family: U5 RNA is a component of both types of known spliceosome. The precise function of this molecule is unknown, though it is known that the 5' loop is required for splice site selection and p220 binding, and that both the 3' stem-loop and the Sm site are important for Sm protein binding and cap methylation. Lineage: Eukaryota; Metazoa; Chordata; Mammalia; Artiodactyla; Balaenopteridae. The record is from Ensembl.